GAUGAAGAACGCAGCGAAAUGCGAUAACUAAUGUGAAUUGCAGAAUUCCGUGAAUCGUCGAGUCUUUGAACGCACAUUGCGCCCCCUGGUAUUCCGGGGGGCAUGCCUGUCCGAGCGUCAUUGCUGCCCAUCAAGCACGGCUUGUGUGUUGGGUCCCGUCCCCCUCUCCCGGGGGACGGACCCGAAAGGCAGCGGCGGCACCGCGUCCGGUCCUCGAGCGUAUGGGGCUUUGUCACCCGCUCUUGUAGGCCCGGCCGGCGCUUGCCGACACCCAACCAUUUUUUUCAGGUUGACCUCGGAUCAGGUAGGGAUACCCGCUGAACUUAAGCAUAUCAAUAAGCGGAGGA
This 347-nucleotide unclassified non-coding RNA is filed under the name soil metagenome. RNAcentral's name for it is "partial contains 5.8S ribosomal RNA, internal transcribed spacer 2, and large subunit ribosomal RNA". The stretch from base 1 to 120 matches the Rfam family "5.8S ribosomal RNA", at positions 35 to 154 of the family's 154-position model. The record is from RNAcentral.